CUGGAAGUCAAACAGCCUUGGCUGUAUGGAGAUACAGGCAGAAGGAGAAGAAACUAGGAGGGAAAAAUGAGGACAUCCCUUCUGUCAUGCAUGCUGCCCUCUCUUCUAGUCUUCAAGAGCCAAGAUGGCAUUUCUGUUUGGCUUAGGGAAUGGAAAUAAUGUGGAGUUGUGCGACCAGCUCAAGUUGGCAGGUUAUUGCAAUGGAAGCUCCAAUCCAAGAGGGUCUGUGGAGUUCCAGUUUACAGUGGACAUGACCGGCAUCCAGAGAGACUUGAAAGAAGCCUGAAUCUUCUCACUAGAAUCCCUGCAAAAUGACUCAUGUAAUUGCUCUAAGAAUCCUUAGCCUUUAUUGUACACCCACACAAUUCUGAUGCUAUAGACUCCUGUGGCAUGCAGGGAAAGUGGGAAGGGGGCCCAUUUUAGAUGCCUAGAAUUUCAGAAGGGACCACCAAUUCCACUUGUAAGAGCAGCUGGGGAGUGCCAAAUACCCAAACCAAGGCACCUGCC
Molecule: long non-coding RNA, 507 nt
Filed under: Vulpes vulpes (red fox)
Lineage: Eukaryota; Metazoa; Chordata; Mammalia; Carnivora; Canidae
Description: lncRNA (ENSVVUG00000005247.1)
Source: RNAcentral